CCGCACAAGCGGUGGAGCAUGUGUUUAAUUCGAUGCAACGCGAAAACCUUACCACCUUUGACAUGUACGGAAUCCUUUAGAGAUAGAGGAGUGCUCGAAAGAGAACCGUAACACAGGUGCUGCAUGGCUGUCGUCAGCUCGUGUCGUGAGAUGUUGGGUUAAGUCCCGCAACGAGCGCAACCCUUGUCAUUAGUUGCUACAUUCAGUUGGGCACUCUAAUGAGACUGCCGGUGACAAACCGGAGGAAGGUGGGGAUGACGUCAAGUCCUCAUGGCCCUUAUAGGUGGGGCUACACACGUCAUACAAUGGAUGGUACAAAGGGUCGCCAACCCGCGAGGGGGAGCCAAUCCCAUAAAGCCAUUCGUAGUCCGGAUCGCAGUCUGCAACUCGACUGCGUGAAGUCGGAAUCGCUAGUAAUCGUGGAUCAGAAUGUCACGGUGAAUACGUUCCCGGGUCUU
Molecule: ribosomal RNA, 458 nt
Filed under: uncultured Acidovorax sp.
Lineage: Bacteria; Pseudomonadati; Pseudomonadota; Betaproteobacteria; Burkholderiales; Comamonadaceae
Description: bacterial SSU rRNA
Rfam family: Bacterial small subunit ribosomal RNA
Source: RNAcentral